UCUAUUGUUUAUGCCUCACGAUAAAGUAGGCAGAAAAACCUAUCUUUACGCGUUGGUCGUGAUCGAUA
Non-coding RNA from Nematostella vectensis (starlet sea anemone), 68 nucleotides. The record is from Rfam. NCBI's taxonomy places the organism in Eukaryota, Metazoa, Cnidaria, Anthozoa, Actiniaria, Edwardsiidae.